Non-coding RNA from Salmo salar (Atlantic salmon), 1419 nucleotides. Lineage: Eukaryota; Metazoa; Chordata; Actinopteri; Salmoniformes; Salmonidae. The record is from RefSeq and is a predicted model, not a curated record.
CCAGAAACAACCCCUAGCCCUUACUGUCCAGAAACAACCCCUAGCCCUUACUGUCCAGAAACAACCCCUAGCCCUUACUGUCCAGAAACAACCACCAGCUGAUCAGACAGGUCUGGGUAGCUGGAGACACCCACUACACCCUAUCAGGCUGAUCAGACAGGUCUGGGUAGCUGGAGACACCCACUACACCCUAUCAGGCUGAUCAGACAGGUCUGGGUAGCUGGAGACACCCACAACACCCUAUCAGGCUGAUCAGACAGGUCUGGGUAGCUGGAAACACCCACUACACCCUAUCAGGCUGAUCAGACCGGUCUGGGUAGCUGGAGACACCCACUCCAUCCUAUCAGGCUGAUCAGACAGGUCUGGGUAGCUGGAGACACCCACAACACCCUAUCAGGCUGAUCAGACAGGUCUGGGUAGCUGGAAACACCCACUACACCCUAUCAGGCUGAUCAGACAGGUCUGGGUAGCUGGAGACACCCACUACACCCUAUCAGGCUGAUCAGACAGGUCUGGGUAGCUGGAAACACCCACUACACCCUAUCAGGCUGAUCAGACAGGUCUGGGUAGCUGGAGACACCCACUACACUCUAUCAGGCUGAUCAGACAGGUCUGGGUAGCUGGAGACCUGCUGGAAACAGUGAAAGGACAUAUUUACCAAUCACACCCUUGCUUUAGAUGUGUAACCACUGACUAACUAUAGCUAGGUCAUAUCUCUAGUCGAGCAAUAGAUACUGUUGUUUUAGAUCUAUAGCAUCAUUUAAUAAGUUUGACCAGUAGCUAGGUAGUUAGGAUAUAUCAGUCAGCUAACCAUUUACAGUAACAGCAGUUCAUUAAUAAGUCAAUACACACUAAGUCUUAUGCAGACAUUUUGAAAUGGUACCUUCUCUUGGCACUGUGGCACAGUAUGGGAAGCUAUUAAUCAAUUAAUGAAUAGAUAAUAGAUUCACAGAUUCAUAGAAUGGAGUUAGAAGGGUGACCUCCUACUUUGAUAGAACAGGGUUUGUUGGCUGUGCACUUGACCAGGCAUUCCACUUUUAACCCCACCCACAUUUGAACGUUGAAAUAUCAAGUUGUUUUUUGGUUUUGUAUGCAAAAACUGAAAGAAAACAAGCCAUUUAAUUAGUUUUUUUUACUAUUCAAAAACGAAUAAACAAGCCAUUUUCACAUUCCCGAUUGCUCUGUUUUAACUCAGAAAACAAACUGUAAUGAAACAGCAGGGAGCAAACCUUUUUCAAAAGGUACACAGACCUUAACCUUACCUCAGGAAUCUUGAUUUAAUGUUGUCCAUGAAGUAGGCUAAUUAUCUUAACCUCCAUAACAACAUAGAAACCAAAAUGUUCUGUCAAUCUUCCAGAUCAACAUUAAUUCCCGCACUGGCUGUUAAAUCGCGUGUAUCAUCACACAAGCUCUUUAUUA